Molecule: ribosomal RNA, 425 nt
Filed under: uncultured bacterium
Lineage: Bacteria
Description: partial 16S ribosomal RNA
Rfam family: Bacterial small subunit ribosomal RNA
Source: RNAcentral
GUUAGGAAUAUUGGACAAUGGGCGCAAGCCUGAUCCAGCCAUGCCGCGUGAGUGAUGAAGGCCUCCGGGUUGUAAAGCUCUUUAGCCGAUGAUUAUAAUGACUGUAGUCGGAAAAUAAGCCCCGGCUAACUUCGUGCCAGCAGCCGCGGUAAUACGAAGGGGGCGAGCGUUAUUCGGAAUCACUGGGCGUAAAGCGUGCGUAGGCGGCUUUGCAAGUUGGGAGUGAAAGCCCAGGGCUCAACCCUGGAAUUGCUCUCAAAACUGCAAGGCUCGAAUUCGGGAGAGGAUAGCGGAAUUGUCAGUGUAGCAGUGAAAUGCGUAGAUAUUGACAGGAACACCAGUGGCGUAAGCGGCUAUCUGGACCGAUAUUGACGCUGAGGCACGAAAGCGUGGGGAUCAAACAGGAUUAGAAACCCCAGUAGUCC